UUAGCUGAUGGGAAACAGGUCAAUAUUCCUGUACCGAUGUGUAGUGCGAUGUGGGGACGGAUCUUAAUAAGUCAUCCGGGUGUUGGAUAUCCCGGUUUAGCUGGAUGUAGGCGAUGGGCAGGCAAAUCCGCCCGUCAUAUACCGAGGCCAGUGAUCGAGCAAGCUUGCUUGUGAAGUGAUCGAACGAGGUUCCAGGAAAAGCCACUAAGCUUCAGCUGCACACGACCGUACCGCAAACCGACACUGGUGCGCGAGAUGAGUAUUCUAAGGCGCUUGAGAGAACUCGGGAGAAGGAACUCGGCAAAUUGACACCGUAACUUCGGAAGAAGGUGUGCCCUAUUAGUGUGAAGCGAACAGCGGAGCAUGAACGGGUUGCAAAGAAUCGGUGGCUGCGACUGUUUAUUAAAAACACAGCACUCUGCAAACACGAAAGUGGACGUAUAGGGUGUGACGCCUGCCCGGUGCUGGAAGAUUAAAUGAUGGGGUGCAAGCUCUUGAUUGAAGUCCCGGUAAACGGCGGCCGUAACUAUAACGGUCCUAAGGUAGCGAAAUUCCUUGUCGGGUAAGUUCCGACCUGCACGAAUGGCGUAACGAUGGCCACACUGUCUCCUCCCGAGACUCAGCGAAGUUGAAAUGUUUGUGAUGAUGCAAUCUCCCCGCGGAAAGACGGAAAGACCCCAUGAACCUUUACUGUAGCUUUGUAUUGGACUUUGAACAGAUCUGUGUAGGAUAGGUGGGAGGCUUUGAAGCAGGGUCGCUAGAUCUUGUGGAGCCAACGUUGAAAUACCACCCUGGUGUGUUUGAGGUUCUAACCUAGGUCCAUUAUCUGGAUCGGGGACCGUGCAUGGUAGGCAGUUUGACUGGGGCGGUCUCCUCCCAAAGCGUAACGGAGGAGUUCGAAGGUACGCUAGUUACGGUCGGACAUCGUGACGAUAGUGCAAUGGCAUAAGCGUGCUUAACUGCGAGACUGACAAGUCAAGCAGAUGCGAAAGCAGGACAUAGUGAUCCGGUGGUUCUGUAUGGAAGGGCCAUCGCUCAACGGAUAAAAGGUACUCUGGGGAUAACAGGCUGAUACCGCCCAAGAGUUCAUAUCGACGGCGGUGUUUGGCACCUCGAUGUCGGCUCAUCUCAUCCUGGGGCUGUAGCCGGUCCCAAGGGUAUGGCUGUUCGCCAUUUAAAGAGGUACGUGAGCUGGGUUUAAAACGUCGUGAGACAGUUUGGUCCCUAUCUUCCGUGGGCGCUGCAGAUUUGAGGAAGCCUGCUCCUAGUACGAGAGGACCGGAGUGGACACACCUCUGGUGUAUCGGUUGUCACGCCAGUGGCAUUGCCGAGUAGCUAUGUGUGGAAGAGAUAAACGCUGAAAGCAUCUAAGCGUGAAACUCGUUUCAAGAUGAGAUCUGCCGGGGCCUUGAGCCCCCUGAAGAGUCGUUCGAGACCAGGACGUUGAUAGGCAGGGUGUGGAAGCGCAGUAAUGCGUUAAGCUAACCUGUACUAAUUGCUCGUGUGGCUUGACCCG
Molecule: ribosomal RNA, 1516 nt
Filed under: metagenome
Description: bacterial LSU rRNA
Rfam family: Bacterial large subunit ribosomal RNA
Source: RNAcentral